AACGAACGCUGGCGGCAUGCCUAACACAUGCAAGUCGAACGAGACCUUCGGGUCUAGUGGCGCACGGGUGCGUAACGAGUGGGAACCUGCACUUAGGUUCGGAAUAACUCCCCGAAAGGGGUGCUAAUACCGGAUAAUGUCAUCGGACCAAAGAUUUAUCGCCUUUGGAUGGGCCUGCGUUGGAUUAGCUAGUUGGUAGGGUAAAAGCCUACCAAGGCGGCGAUCCAUAGCUGGUCUGAGAGGAUGAUCAGCCACACUGGGACUGAGACACGGCCCAGACUCCUGCGGGAGGCAGCAGUGGGGAAUAAUGGACCAGGGGCGAAAGCCUGAUCCAGCAAGGCCGCGAGAGUGAUGAAGGCCUUAGGGUUGUAAAGCUCUUUUACCCGGGAUGAUAAGGACAGUACCGGGAGAAUAGGCUCCGGCUACCUCCGU
This 432-nucleotide ribosomal RNA is filed under the name uncultured bacterium. Its description in RNAcentral is "partial 16S ribosomal RNA". It matches the Rfam family "Bacterial small subunit ribosomal RNA", at positions 29 to 506 of the family's 1533-position model. The record is from RNAcentral.